RNAcentral lists this ribosomal RNA (378 nucleotides) under uncultured eukaryote. RNAcentral describes it as "partial 18S ribosomal RNA". It matches the Rfam family "Eukaryotic small subunit ribosomal RNA", at positions 592 to 976 of the family's 1831-position model. The record is from RNAcentral.
CAAUAGCGUAUAUUUAAGUUGUUGCAGUUAAAAAGCUCGUAGUUGGAUUUCGGGUGGGACGCAGCGGUCUCGCAUUGCGUUUGUACUGCUGCAGCCCUCCUUCUUGCCGGGGGCGGCCUCUCGGACUUCACUGUCUGGGGGUCAGAAUCGGCGAUGUUACUUUGAGUAAAUUAGAGUGUUCAAAGCAAGCUUACGCUCUGAAUAUAAUAGCAUGGGAUAACACGACAGGACUCUGGCCUAUCGUGUUGGUCUGUAGGACCGGAGUAAUGAUUAAGAGGAACAGUCGGGGGCAUUCGUAUUCCAUUGUCAGAGGUGAAAUUCUUAGAUUUAUGGAAGACGAACAUCUGCGAAAGCAUUUGCCAAGGAUGUUUUCAUUGA